GGGAAGCUGUGUAUUUACAUCAGCCCUUCCACUGAACUCACCCAGUCCAGCUGUACCAUUUACAUUCAUCCUGCACCUUUGGUUUUUUUCUCUCUGCUCUUGGGUAAAGUCAAUUCUAGAAGAAAACUUCUUGCUGAGGCAAAUUCCACCAGCACAGAAAAGGACACGGUGUGUGAUUUCAACAGAAAAUGAGAUUGCACUUCUUGUGCAGGCUGGAAGUCCUCACCUUAACCUCAUGCUAAUCUAGAAACAAAAGACUUCUUACAGGAAAAAAAAAAUAUAAAUAAAAUAGACUCUACUACAAACCGAGCCUGUUUAUUCUGAAGUUGUCUAUCAGUGGCUAACUCCAGACCCAAUCUCACGGGUAAAUAUUUGCAGAACCAUUUGAAUGAUGAAGGGCUUUUAUUACCUGGGAGAGUUUCCUGCUCCUUGCCUUGGAAAGGCUCCCCUGGAUGUGCAGGGUGGCCCCAGCUCCCUGCCUGGAGUGUCCCAGCUGGGAAGGAGCUGAGGAGCAGCCGGGGUGAUGCUCAAGAUUGCAGAGCUGCUGCCAGAGGGACACGGAGGAGCCUCCAAAGAACUUCCUGGUGGAUGCCUGAGCAAAGGUAAAGCUCCUUUUGUGUCCUUUCCAUUUCCAUCCAUUCCUGGGUUCUGCUCUUCUGUUGGGCCAGAACAACCUGGCAGCAGCCAGCUUGGCUGGAUUGUGUCUUAAUCACUGCAUAAAUCCAGCUGAUUUCAUCCUAAUUUGACCCAAACUGAUGUGUCUCUACCCAUAAAGAGUGAAUUUAUUUAUUCCCUGGUACACUCUUUUCCAUUUUUUUCUCCACACCAACAGCCUUGUCUCUGUGACUGGUUUUUUAUUCCUCUUCUAAUAAUUUCUAUAUUUUCAUGUUGUGUGCUCAAGUCUGUGAAGGUUUGUCUCUUUUUCUCCCUGCACUAGGGCAAAUCUACAUUUACAUCAGCCCUUUCACUGAGCUCUCCCAGUCUGGUUGUACCAUUUACAUUCAUCCUCCACCUUUGUUUUUUUUUCUCUCUGCUCUUGGGUAAAGUGAAUUGUAGAAGAAAACUUCUUGCUGAGGCAAAUUCCCUCAGCACAGCACAGGAAAGGACAGGGACACUCAUCUCACGUUUGUUCUGGGUGCUCUGUCAGUGUGAUGGGAAUACUUGUUUUUAAAUCAUGACUAUUUGUUUAUAAACCAUGAAUAUUUGCUUUUAAAUAAUAUUUCAUGUGUGUGCUAUGUGGUGGCUCAAAACUGGUCCUCAGAGGGUUAGGCUCACUUGCUCAAAUAUAUAUUUUUUAUUUGUUGUGAUAUAAAUUUAUAUAAAAAAUAAUAGAAUGGAACUUUUUCAUGUUCAGAACAAUUCAUCCUUUAGGAUAUUUUCUGUGUCCAUCUCCAGCUGUUUAUUUUGGGGGUCAUGGUUCCAUCAACAAGGGAUGAUAAUGUGGCCAAUGGACAUUUCCAAACCUUCCACCACAUCUAGAGAGGUUCAGUCAUUUCUCUCCCACUGAAGAAUCCUGGAAUGAAUGGGAGUAUUGGUGGUAUAAAUUAGUAUUUAUUGGAAUAUUGUCAGUACGGGUCCAAGUGACCCUGGAAAUGUAAAUCAUAGCACAGGAAAAAUAAACAAAGAGUUGUCUGAUUCGAGGAAAUGGAA
This 1650-nucleotide long non-coding RNA is filed under the name Parus major (Great Tit). RNAcentral's name for it is "lncRNA (ENSPMJG00000017076.1)". Lineage: Eukaryota; Metazoa; Chordata; Aves; Passeriformes; Paridae. The record is from RNAcentral.